Molecule: RNA transcript, 5732 nt
Organism: Nomia melanderi (Alkali bee)
Lineage: Eukaryota; Metazoa; Arthropoda; Insecta; Hymenoptera; Halictidae
Source: RefSeq, a predicted model, not a curated record
AUUUUUCUUGCAAACCAUUGACGCGCGGACCGUAUCGCACCACGGGAAAUCUAGAAAAUCUCAUUUACUCGUUUAAGUGAUUCCAGUCCAAUAAGCAGAUUAUGUACUAUUACGAAAGGAUGUUUCCGUGCGAGGAAGCGAAUGACAAGCAACGAUAACCGAUUAUUUCUUUUUCCAUUUCCUCUUCCGAGAGAUUCAGCUGGCCGUUCUGUAAUCCGAAGCAUCGCGAAUGAAUCGUUGUCGCAAUGCAAAAAUAGUACCUCGAGGAAACGCUAACUACGAAAAUAUUUACACAACUGAGAUCGAACAUUCGUUACACCGCGCGCGUCCGUGCGCUCGUGCGCUCGUGCGUGCAAAGCUUUUCUCAACAGAUAUACACGAAACGCGUCUGCACACGUCUUUCUUUCGAAAUGAAAUUCAAUUUCUAUCUUUGAUGCAUUUCGCAUCGUUUCAUCGGUUCUUCUUCCUUCUGCUUUGCGUUUCUUCUCCUUUUUGCUUGAAACACACCUUACACUCGAGAUAUUUAACGAACGUCUACCCCCGAAUUCUCAACGCUGCUACUAUUGUACCAUCGCUAGAACAAAUUGUAGUAGAGACGAGAACGAGAACGAGAACGAGAACCGAACCAGCGCAAUUUGGGCUCUACUUCUGGUUCCGAUUUCAAUAUCCUACCGAUAUACUCGGGUAUAAUUUUUCUGUUACGAGAAGGAGCACGAUGGAAGAGAAACGGAUAGAGUGCGCAUUGUGUGUGCUUUACCUGUUAUCCGCAAUCUUAUCUUUGACGUCGUUGACUAGUUUCGUUACUGUUUGGCAACAUUGGACACGAACAUUGAACGUUUGCAUCAGUAUCGACUGUGGUUGCAUACUUUACUCUAUCAAUACCUUCAGCACUUUUAUGGGAGGUGACGUGAAACUCUGCCAAUUUGGCGCGUAUGGCUCGAUUCCAGCAAUUCUGAUCGGUUUGUGUCUCGGUGGAUACCAUGCGUAUAGAUGUUGCAUUCACAGAAAUUUGGAUAAACCCGUGCAAGUCCAGGAUAACGCGAGCAGGAACUUGCAGAGUGACGUCGAUCGAGUGCCGGUCACCGUAGUGGCCAGGCCCAAAAGAAGAAGCCGGUACAAGCAUUGGAUACCCGUUGUAUUUCUCGCUACUUUGUUUUCUUGUUUAUUACUGGCGCAUGCGAUCGUUAUGACCGACGGUUACUACAAGACCUGCGAGCAAUUCAGAAAAAGGAUUAUACAAGAACAUCGUUCGGUGGGUGGCGAAGCCGAGAUGAUACACAAUCGAUUUUCUUGCGGAGCAAUCUUCGACUUUAUGGACUUUGCCCAGGUAACGGAGGACAAUUGGAUACGCGGGAAACAAAUCGAUACCGGUGCUGCUCUGAGAUUAGCAGUAGUAUCCGCAUGGCUGAGCUUCUUUGUCUGGACACUUGUAUUUCUCUUAAGCGUUUCCAUGGUGCGGCAAAAAUUGUGUCGUUGCUGACGCGACUCGCGACGUUUCGCCCGAGAUGUUUCUCGAUUCCCUAGACCGAUCUGCAGAGACAUUGCUGUGCUAGUGCGAUCUCAACGGAAUCUUAAAGGAGAGCCAUUUAUAAUUCGAUCAUUAGAGGAACAAGUUUCUUAUAGAUGAAAAUUACGCCAUCGCUUGUACAUCUGGAGGUUUCAACAAUGAAAACUACACGACAUCGGGCCGCGAAAGUUUCAAGUUUCAAGUUUCUGCAACGGGAAAUUUCCAAAACAGAAACAUUUGUAUUUCUGCUGUUGAAAAGAAACCAUGAAUCGGCUUAGUUUCUGCCAGAUUGCGGAAACUAUCUCUGAACUCGUAUACCGCGUUGUUACGGUUUCAAGAAACGCGCACAGGAUAUUCUUACCGUUCUACGAUAUCGUGUAACAAGUGUUUAGGCAAACAAAUCUUUUACUCUUGCACCUGUAAUUCACAAGCAACAAACUGAAAUUACGCGGCGUACUUAUCAUUAUACUUUCUUGUUUGUUUUCGUUCUCUCUAAUAGCACAGGAUGGAUUGUGGCAGUAGAAAUUUACAAAGUUACAAAUACUUACAAACGAAUGAAAAUCCGCAGCUACGAAAACAAAUGUAAAUCGCCAGAUCCCUUUGUCGCUAUAAAUGUGUGUACCAAUGGAAAGCUUUCUAUCGGAGAUGUUUUAAAAUUGCAAAAAUUGUGAAAAUUAUGACCGGCAAACAGAAAAUAGAAAACAGAACAAUUGGAUUCCUCCUCUCAAGUUCCUUCACUUUGCUACGUCUUCUAGAAUCGAUGCAUUUGUACGUUUAAAACAUAUCACUUUUCGAUACACGUUCGUCUGAGAAAUUUCCUCGUGGUAACUUUUUCCCGAUGGACAUCUUCGUGCCUCAAGUGAAUGGAUUGCUUCGCCUUUUUAACGAUCCAAAUCGUUUCUCCGGUUCUCGAACUACUUCGAAAGGCGUGAUUCUCUGUGGAGUUCCGAUUCGCUUCUCUUCGUUUUCAUCGCUCGGAAAAUCUUCGAAGCUGAGAUUGUUGAACCCAGCGGUAACGACAACGGAACAUUUCUUUGUCUUUGCGGUCUUUUUGUGACACGCAGACUUACCCUUGUACGAUAACAAACUCGCUGGUAGAACAUUCACGACGUCUCCAUGAUUUUCGUCGAUCAGCUGAUAUUUUGAUUUUUCCGAUUUAAACUUAUCCUUUUUGUGUUUCGGCGCGUCCUCUGCGACAACCAACGGUUCGGGCGACAUGGGUGAAACCAUGAUAUCCUGCGCACUAUCGAGUCUCGAUACACUGUUUGCGAGAGGAACGUUAAUUCGGGAAGAGCGUUGGACGGGCUGAAUGGCGUACGACGGAUCCAACGAAGCAGAUGCUGAUCGAGAAACGUUUGACGUUAUUGCCUUGUCGGAUCGUAUUAUGUUUAAAGUACCUUCGACAAAACUUGUCAGCUUGGAAGGUAACUGCUGAGAGUAUGCUCUCUGCGGUUGUUGUUGUUGCUGCUGCUGCUGCUGCUGCGUUUGCAGUUCCGACUGCUGUUGUUGUUGGUCAGUUCGAAGGGACGCAAAUUCGUCGAACGGAAUAGACCCGAAAAGAUCUUUCGAAUGAUCGUAAUCGUCCGUCGCGGCAGAAAAAUUUGAAUUUCUUAUCACCGAAACAGCUUCUUCCGGAGGGUGGACGUAUGAAACUGUCUCCAAUUGAUUCGGGCAAGAAGAUAUGCGAUUGUGGUUAUCGUACAAUAAAUUUCUGAUCCCCAAUUUUCUAAUCAACACAUCCGAUUCGUUCCCUACAGCAUAAUUCGAAACUGCUCGAUGCAUAAAAGGAUUCACAAAAUCGCACGGACUAAACGGCGAAGAGCCGAACAAAUCUUUUUCUUUGCUUUCUUUCUCCUUCUCCUUCUCCUUCUCUUUCUCUUUUCCUUUCUCUUUCUCUUUCUCUUCAUCCAGCUCCUUUUCUUGUUGCUUUCUCCUUUCAUUUUUUUCUGUUCCUUCCUUAGACCUUUUCUCUUCGCCUUCUCCAACGAUUCCAUCGAUAUUCAUCGUUACUCGAAACGGUAAAGGUCGUUGCUUUUCUAUGCAAGUUUCUUUGUACACCUGCCGAAACGAAUUGUAUUCGGGUAACGACUUGUUUUCGAUAGCUACCAUAGUGUCGAUCAAGUUAUCACUGCUGAUGUUCAUCGUCUCAUUCUCUUCGCCACUAUCGUUCUUUUUUAAACUGCUAGACUUCCGAAACGGAGCUAAAGAAAAUACGUCUUUCUUCAUUUUGAUCAAUCUAUCCUUUGAAAGCAUCGUCUUCUUGGUUUCGUUCGUCGAGCUGUCGUCAUCGGAAGACACGGGUCUCGAAUCGUACUGUUGAUCGACGAAUGGAUCGCCGUACGAUCGUUUCGAUGUUGAUUCUGUAUCAAGUUCAUCGUCCAACAACAGAGGCUUCUCUCCGUAUUGAUGUCCAACAAUCGGGUCCACGUGGAUUCGUCUCGAUAAAUGCCCUACAAGUUCUUUCUUAGACAUGUUUCUCUUGCAAUGCAUCUCGCGUAGCGUGCCGGCGGCUGGUUCGUAUACAUCGCGAGCCAUUGAAUAGUAGUUGUUGUUAGCUGCACUAUCGUCAUUGUCAUUGCCUCGUUCCUCCAGUUCCGCCUCGACCUCGAGCUCAAGCUCCAGCUUCUUCGCAUCCACAUCCGCACGAACCGCCAGCAGCUCAGUCUCCUCCUUUCUCUUCUCCUGAUCGUUGUCUACUUCUUUCCCUCUCUCCGGGCCCAUCAGCACCCCCACCGCCUCUCCAUCGUCCUCCUGCUUGUCCGCCUCUUCCUGUUUCUCCUCGUUCUCCUCCAUCUUCUCUUCCUCAUCCUCUUCCUCUUCCCUGCUAUCUUCUUCGUCUUCGUUCUCCUCCUUUUCCUCCCUUCUCUUUCCCGUUCUUCCCUUACCCUUUCGAUCCACGUUAACGUCCACGUUAGCGCUAUUCCCAACUGGGUUGUUGUGCAAACCAUUUAUGUUGAUAUUGUCAUUGGCAUUGACACGAAUCGAAUCUAUUGAGUAAUUUAGUUGGUCGUUUUGUUCGAUCGAAUUGUUCGUACUUUGCGGCAUUUUCAUCUUCCUGCGUAAUACAUUCUUAACUCUCCUUCUUUUUUGUUUGACUUGUUGUUGCUGCGUUACAUCUUUGUCGCUAUCACUGGAUAAAUCAUCGACGCUAAAAGUCAACUUUUCAUACUUGGAUCUAUCUUCCAUAGGUGCUUGAACAAACAAUGAAGAGGUAGGACCGUUGUUUAUCAAGAGGGUUGUUCUCUCGUCGGCUUUAACGCACUCGAUUCUCGAAUUCCAUUGAUUAGAGGGUAUUCUUGAUCUACCAUUUAUAGAUAUGCCUGAAAAAUAUAACAUAAACAUCGAUAAAAGUGACGUUUCGUACAACAGAUCACGAUAACUAGCCACGCACGAUGGUGGCAGCAACGAUACGCUGUCACGCAUUUUCCUAUACAUCGUAUUCGGUCGAGCCGUACAAGUGAAACGAAAUGAAAAAGAAAACGCGACAGCGACGGCGACGGCGGCGGCGACGGCGAUCACAACAACGGCGUUCACGUUUUCACCGAUACGAUAUUUACUAUUUUACGUUGAAGCGCACGCGUUUAAUACAAUUGAGAUUCGUUCUACUUACCUAAAACACAUGCGAUACAUUAUUACACUUUAAUCAUAUCGACUAACACAGAAUCAUUCAUCUUUGUACAAAUUUGUACACAUUUCAGUUACCUUUAUUUCCCUACUUUUAUCUUAUUUACUUCGUUUACUUGAUUUACUUCAUUUAUUAGGAGGAUUGUAACAUUUUAAAUUUAUAUGGUGAAACUGAACCGUGUAAAUCUCUUUUUGGUAAAGAUUCUUCCGCGUAAAACACAGGAACCAGUCUCGCGGACUUCGUUCUGGACUACGAAUCUGUGAAGAAAGCGCACACGAGUUUUAACAAAAAUAAGAAUAUCUAGUUGAAUAGGAGAAGCAGGAAAUAUCUGAUUACAUCUUUUACAGAUCAUGCCUUAUAAUCUUAUAAUUAUUAACAUUUCAGAGUUUACGACUUCCACCAUUUAUCAUCGUGCUUCGGACAUUCGAUAUAAAUGUUACAAAAGAAUCUUUUUCCCAAUCGUUCUUCAAGUAUUACCACUGUUUUCACCACCACCACCGCCACCAUCACCCUCACCAUCAUCUACAUCACUGUCAUCAUCACCAUCAUUACCACCAUCGCCAUCGCCAUCACCAUCACCAUCACCAUCACCAUCACCAC